Molecule: long non-coding RNA, 240 nt
Filed under: Lathyrus oleraceus (garden pea)
Lineage: Eukaryota; Viridiplantae; Streptophyta; Magnoliopsida; Fabales; Fabaceae
Description: Pisum sativum (pea) long non-coding RNA (PSAT_LNC018631)
Source: RNAcentral
UUAUUUCUGAUAUUUUUGGAGCAUGUAAUAGAAUAUGAUGUAACAAGUUUGAUGUGUAGCAAUGUUGAAGUUUAAUGUAAAUUAUUUUGAAUGAAUGAAGAUGAAACUUUUCAGUCGCUUCUUCUGCUCAGGUUCUUUCUUCUUAUGAGCAUGUUUCUUCCUCUCAGUUGAUUUGCUCUUCACCUUACUUGGAGUACUAGGGUUGGGAAUAACUUGUUCAGCAACAAGUGUAGAAUUACA